This 253-nucleotide ribosomal RNA is filed under the name uncultured bacterium. RNAcentral describes it as "partial 16S ribosomal RNA". It matches the Rfam family "Bacterial small subunit ribosomal RNA", at positions 524 to 776 of the family's 1533-position model. The record is from RNAcentral.
UACGUAGGUGGCAAGCGUUGUCCGGAUUUAUUGGGUUUAAAGGGUGCGUAGGCGGCUGUUCAAGUCGGGGGUGAAAGCCUGUGGCUCAACCACAGAAUGGCCUUCGAUACUGGACGGCUCGAGACCGGAAGAGGUAAGUGGAACUGCGAGUGUAGAGGUGAAAUUCGUAGAUAUUCGCAAGAACACCAGUGGCGAAGGCGGCUUACUGGUCCGGUUCUGACGCUGAGGCGCGAAAGCGUGGGGAGCAAACAGG